AUUGAACGCUGGCGGCAUGCCUUACACAUGCAAGUCGAACGGCAGCACGGGUGCUUGCCCCUGGUGGCGAGUGGCGAACGGGUGAGUAAUACAUCGGAACAUGUCCUGUAGUGGGGGAUAGCCCGGCGAAAGCCGGAUUAAUACCGCAUACGAUCCACGGAUGAAAGCGGGGGACCUUCGGGCCUCGCGCUAUAGGGUUGGCCGAUGGCUGAUUAGCUAGUUGGUGGGGUAAAGGCCUACCAAGGCGACGAUCAGUAGCUGGUCUGAGAGGACGACCAGCCCAACGGGGACUGAGAAACGGCACAAACUCAUAGGGGAGGGAGGAGGGGGGAAUUUUGGAAAAUGGGAGAAAGCCUGAUCCAAAAAUGCCGGGGGUGAAAAAAAGGCCUUGGGGUUGAAAAGCUCUUUUGACAGGAAAAAAAUCCUUGACUAUAAAACAGGGGGGGGAUGAGGGUACCGGAAAAAAAAGCACCGGCAAACUACGU
This 485-nucleotide ribosomal RNA is filed under the name uncultured bacterium. RNAcentral describes it as "partial 16S ribosomal RNA". It matches the Rfam family "Bacterial small subunit ribosomal RNA", at positions 29 to 506 of the family's 1533-position model. The record is from RNAcentral.